GGCUGGUGCUCAUUGACUCUCGCUAUGUGGCGAUACCUCAGCGAUUUCUCGAGCUGGAUUACCUAUUGAUUUUCCUCCUUUCUUGCCUCCCAGGUUUACUCGGCUGGACAUUGUGUGUGUUUGGAUUUCUCAAGGAUUCUCCCCCGACUAACAUGGAUGUCCCACCAUUCCUUGCAGUUGAAGGUUGCUCCUUGGCGCAGUGAAUGAAGAACAUGCAGGGAUUGCUAAUGGGUUUGGGAAGCGUAGACUCUCUCCUCUCUCUGUGACCAUGCCGUGAUCGUGUCUGAGGGCCAGCAAUUUACUCUUCAGAUGCAUCAUUAGACUCCUUCUUUGCUUACUGUGGAUUGGAUAUUCCCAAGGAACCACACAUGUGUUAAGA
This is a long non-coding RNA of Nothoprocta perdicaria, 379 nucleotides long. RefSeq lists it as uncharacterized. The transcript is spliced from 2 exons. The record is from RefSeq and is a predicted model, not a curated record. NCBI's taxonomy places the organism in Eukaryota, Metazoa, Chordata, Aves, Tinamiformes, Tinamidae.